Molecule: ribosomal RNA, 2395 nt
Filed under: Escherichia coli
Lineage: Bacteria; Pseudomonadati; Pseudomonadota; Gammaproteobacteria; Enterobacterales; Enterobacteriaceae
Description: partial 23S ribosomal RNA
Rfam family: Bacterial large subunit ribosomal RNA
Source: RNAcentral
GGGACACGUGGUAUCCUGUCUGAAUAUGGGGGGACCAUCCUCCAAGGCUAAAUACUCCUGACUGACCGAUAGUGAACCAGUACCGUGAGGGAAAGGCGAAAAGAACCCCGGCGAGGGGAGUGAAAAAGAACCUGAAACCGUGUACGUACAAGCAGUGGGAGCCUCUUUUAUGGGGUGACUGCGUACCUUUUGUAUAAUGGGUCAGCGACUUAUAUUCUGUAGCAAGGUUAACCGAAUAGGGGAGCCGAAGGGAAACCGAGUCUUAACUGGGCGUUAAGUUGCAGGGUAUAGACCCGAAACCCGGUGAUCUAGCCAUGGGCAGGUUGAAGGUUGGGUAACACUAACUGGAGGACCGAACCGACUAAUGUUGAAAAAUUAGCGGAUGACUUGUGGCUGGGGGUGAAAGGCCAAUCAAACCGGGAGAUAGCUGGUUCUCCCCGAAAGCUAUUUAGGUAGCGCCUCGUGAAUUCAUCUCCGGGGGUAGAGCACUGUUUCGGCAAGGGGGUCAUCCCGACUUACCAACCCGAUGCAAACUGCGAAUACCGGAGAAUGUUAUCACGGGAGACACACGGCGGGUGCUAACGUCCGUCGUGAAGAGGGAAACAACCCAGACCGCCAGCUAAGGUCCCAAAGUCAUGGUUAAGUGGGAAACGAUGUGGGAAGGCCCAGACAGCCAGGAUGUUGGCUUAGAAGCAGCCAUCAUUUAAAGAAAGCGUAAUAGCUCACUGGUCGAGUCGGCCUGCGCGGAAGAUGUAACGGGGCUAAACCAUGCACCGAAGCUGCGGCAGCGACGCUUAUGCGUUGUUGGGUAGGGGAGCGUUCUGUAAGCCUGUGAAGGUGUGCUGUGAGGCAUGCUGGAGGUAUCAGAAGUGCGAAUGCUGACAUAAGUAACGAUAAAGCGGGUGAAAAGCCCGCUCGCCGGAAGACCAAGGGUUCCUGUCCAACGUUAAUCGGGGCAGGGUGAGUCGACCCCUAAGGCGAGGCCGAAAGGCGUAGUCGAUGGGAAACAGGUUAAUAUUCCUGUACUUGGUGUUACUGCGAAGGGGGGACGGAGAAGGCUAUGUUGGCCGGGCGACGGUUGUCCCGGUUUAAGCGUGUAGGCUGGUUUUCCAGGCAAAUCCGGAAAAUCAAGGCUGAGGCGUGAUGACGAGGCACUACGGUGCUGAAGCAACAAAUGCCCUGCUUCCAGGAAAAGCCUCUAAGCAUCAGGUAACAUCAAAUCGUACCCCAAACCGACACAGGUGGUCAGGUAGAGAAUACCAAGGCGCUUGAGAGAACUCGGGUGAAGGAACUAGGCAAAAUGGUGCCGUAACUUCGGGAGAAGGCACGCUGAUAUGUAGGUGAAGCGACUUGCUCGUGGAGCUGAAAUCAGUCGAAGAUACCAGCUGGCUGCAACUGUUUAUUAAAAACACAGCACUGUGCAAACACGAAAGUGGACGUAUACGGUGUGACGCCUGCCCGGUGCCGGAAGGUUAAUUGAUGGGGUCAGCGCAAGCGAAGCUCUUGAUCGAAGCCCCGGUAAACGGCGGCCGUAACUAUAACGGUCCUAAGGUAGCGAAAUUCCUUGUCGGGUAAGUUCCGACCUGCACGAAUGGCGUAAUGAUGGCCAGGCUGUCUCCACCCGAGACUCAGUGAAAUUGAACUCGCUGUGAAGAUGCAGUGUACCCGCGGCAAGACGGAAAGACCCCGUGAACCUUUACUAUAGCUUGACACUGAACAUUGAGCCUUGAUGUGUAGGAUAGGUGGGAGGCUUAGAAGUGUGGACGCCAGUCUGCAUGGAGCCGACCUUGAAAUACCACCCUUUAAUGUUUGAUGUUCUAACGUUGACCCGUAAUCCGGGUUGCGGACAGUGUCUGGUGGGUAGUUUGACUGGGGCGGUCUCCUCCUAAAGAGUAACGGAGGAGCACGAAGGUUGGCUAAUCCUGGUCGGACAUCAGGAGGUUAGUGCAAUGGCAUAAGCCAGCUUGACUGCGAGCGUGACGGCGCGAGCAGGUGCGAAAGCAGGUCAUAGUGAUCCGGUGGUUCUGAAUGGAAGGGCCAUCGCUCAACGGAUAAAAGGUACUCCGGGGAUAACAGGCUGAUACCGCCCAAGAGUUCAUAUCGACGGCGGUGUUUGGCACCUCGAUGUCGGCUCAUCACAUCCUGGGGCUGAAGUAGGUCCCAAGGGUAUGGCUGUUCGCCAUUUAAAGUGGUACGCGAGCUGGGUUUAGAACGUCGUGAGACAGUUCGGUCCCUAUCUGCCGUGGGCGCUGGAGAACUGAGGGGGGCUGCUCCUAGUACGAGAGGACCGGAGUGGACGCAUCACUGGUGUUCGGGUUGUCAUGCCAAUGGCACUGCCCGGUAGCUAAAUGCGGAAGAGAUAAGUGCUGAAAGCAUCUAAGCACGAAACUUGCCC